Long non-coding RNA from Oncorhynchus tshawytscha (Chinook salmon), 315 nucleotides. The record is from Ensembl. Lineage: Eukaryota; Metazoa; Chordata; Actinopteri; Salmoniformes; Salmonidae.
UGUGUGUGUGUUUGUGUGUGUUGUACGUGAGUGUGUGCGCACAGGUGUGUGUGUGUGUGUUUGUGUGUGUUGUACGUGAGUGUGUGCGCACAGGUGUGUGUGUGUGUGUUUGUGUGUGUUGUACGUGAGUGUGUGCGCACAGGUGUGUGUGUGUGUGUUUGUGUGUGUUGUACGUGAGUGUGUGCGCACGUGUGUGUGUGUGUGUGUGUGUGUACGGCUUGAUGAUCUUUCCACUGGACCAUUAGGGCAACGAGAUAAGGAAAGACAAUGCCUGCUAACACACAGGAGACGGAGGUGAGAGAGAGAGGGAGAGAC